UGUGUGUACAUAAUCUAUACUUUAUUAUCUCCGUAUGACGUUUACUUAACCCCUAACAAAAAAAAAGUAUACAUUUUCACGCUAAUCAUGAACACUAACGUUAUUCUUUCGAAUAUUCGGUGAUCAGUAAAAGUAUUAUCCUUGCCUGUAUUUGUCUUCGCAUGUCUUAUUAAGUGUCAUAGACACCUACCCUGGAAAAAACGUAAAAAUGACAUAUCUGUCAAGGCAGCCCACUUUCGUCUUAGUGCGAGUGUCCUAACACUCCUGAUACACCGCAUUGAUCCUCAUUCAAGAUCGUAUUCCGGAACUGAGACAACAAGAUCGGUGAUCUAACAAUCGACAACCACGUUAUGAUCAAAGUCACAAUCACAUAAAUGCAGGUAUGGAAUUUCGACGAGGCGGAAACGGUGCCGUUGACAGAAAUGACGGAGUACGCAACCAAUUUAUCAACCACCAGUGCAAAGAAGCCACAAUUCUCUGCCAAUUAAUAAUCAAAAUAAUACUCAACAUAAUUCUUUUAAUGUAACUCUAGUCUCGCAUCUUUAGUAAAAAAAAAAGUAAAUUCAGAUCUUGCUAAGUAUUGAGGCAAUGCAUUCGCUACUGAGGAUUGAUCUAACAGAUUGCCACAUUAAGAGUUUAGAUACCAUUUAUAUUAACCGUUGUUAGGCGGCAAGCUGGUACCACAUUUGAGUUCAAGAGUAAAGUUGAAUUGAAUACGAACUUAAUAUGAAGCAAGUUGGUUUUUCACAAAAAGGGGGAAUUAGGAGGCUCUUACUGUAAAAUAUCGAUUGUUUUCGAAAUAUUAUAUU
Long non-coding RNA from Acromyrmex echinatior (Panamanian leafcutter ant), 809 nucleotides. The record is from RefSeq and is a predicted model, not a curated record. Lineage: Eukaryota; Metazoa; Arthropoda; Insecta; Hymenoptera; Formicidae.